CAAAGUAAAAUAUUAGGACCCGCCCACGUGCUGCAGCAGAACAACACGAUCGUUGCUCGUUGUCACCUACCGGAGCAGUUUCGGAUUUCUUUGGAGUUUUUGGGGAAUUUCUACAACGUGCAACCGAUAAGACCAUCAGAUCUACUGGGAGGAAGACUUUAUAGACAUGGAACCAACAGUCAGAUUCCGGGUCCUUGUUGGUCACGAGGUCAAAAAACUUACACUCAACAGUGGCAUACCCUCAACUGUGGAUGAAUUGGUUGCAGCCAUCAAAGAACAAUUUGCCAUCACCUCAGAAAUCAGUCUUCAGUACAAAGAUGAAGAGUUUGAUGACUUUUUCACCCUAACGACCACAAAGGAUCUCAAAGAUAAAGACACACUUAAAGUAGUAUAUGUACCGCUAAACAUAACACUGACCCUUGUUCCCCAGGAAAGCACCCCUGAUACAUCCAGUGUGUACUCUUUUUCCGAGUCUGUGACACACUCUGAUGGCUCAGAUGAUACUGUGAUUCUGUCUCCUUCACCCUCUGAAAGGCAAAAUCCAUGGCCUGCUGUAUUCCCAAUUCCAACUUUCUCACACAACACUGAGCUGGCUUUGAGUCAAGGUAAUGAGAUUUAUUUAAGAGAUGGCACCCUACUGACAUCACCCAGUGUCAAAGCGGAUAUCUUGGAGCGUCUGGCAGAGGCCAUGUUUUGCUACACAGCGUACCCCAAUGAUGCCCAGAGGUCUGCAGUAGCACAGGCACUAAUAGAAAAGCAUCCCUGUUUGAAGGAGCCUGGAUCUUUUAAUGGAAUUUAUGGGUGGCAACAAAGCCUGAAAUACAAAUGUGGAAACUAUCGUACCAAACGUAAAGCAUUGGGAAGCCCUGAACUCCUGAUAAACUCAAUGAAACACAAGUCGGUAGAUGA
Non-coding RNA from Paramisgurnus dabryanus, 909 nucleotides. The record is from RefSeq and is a predicted model, not a curated record. NCBI's taxonomy places the organism in Eukaryota, Metazoa, Chordata, Actinopteri, Cypriniformes, Cobitidae.